Molecule: ribosomal RNA, 327 nt
Filed under: uncultured eukaryote
Lineage: Eukaryota
Description: partial 18S ribosomal RNA
Rfam family: Eukaryotic small subunit ribosomal RNA
Source: RNAcentral
CCCUUAGAUGUUCUGGGCCGCACACGCGCUACACUGAAGGAGGCAGCGUGUACUCCUGGAUCGAAAGAUUUGGGUAACCCGCGAAUCUCCUUCGUGCUAGGGAUUGAGGUUUGCAAUUAUCCUUCAUGAACGAGGAAUUCCCAGUAAGUGCAAGUCAUAAGCUUGCGCUGACUACGUCCCUGCCCUUUGUACACACCGCCCGUCGCUACUACCGAUUGAAUGAUUUAGUGAGGACUUCGGACUGGGACCGAUGCGGCUUACGGGCUGCGUCGGUAUUCUGGAAAGAUGUCCAAACUGUAUCAUUUAGAGGAAGUAAAAGUCGUAACA